UGCAUUCACUACUGUAAGUCGCUCAUGGAUAAGAGCGUCUGCUAAAUGACUAAAA
This is a non-coding RNA of Salmo salar (Atlantic salmon), 55 nucleotides long. The record is from Rfam. Lineage: Eukaryota; Metazoa; Chordata; Actinopteri; Salmoniformes; Salmonidae.